GAGGAUGACGCUAUGGUUUUGUCGCCCCAGUCUUAGAUUCGUACUUCCAUAUCUAUGCCGAUUGAUAUGUUAAAUUUGACUC
This is a non-coding RNA of Zea mays, 82 nucleotides long. NCBI's taxonomy places the organism in Eukaryota, Viridiplantae, Streptophyta, Magnoliopsida, Poales, Poaceae. The record is from Rfam.